GACGAACGCUGGCGGCGUGCUUAACACAUGCAAGUCGAACGGCAAGGCCCUGCUUUUGUGGGGUGCUCGAGUGGCGAACGGGUGAGUAACACGUGAGUAACCUGCUCUUGUCUUUGGGAUAACUUCAGGUAACUGGGGCUAAUACCGGAUCGGAUCUCCUGCUGCAUGGUGGGGGUUGGAACGUUUCGGCGGUUGGGGAUGGACUGGCGGCUUAUCAGCUUGUUGGUGGGGUAGUGGCUUACCAAGGCAUUGACGGGUAGGCGGCCUGAGAGGGUGGCCGGCGACAUUGGGACUGAGAUACGGCCCAGUGUCCUACAGGAGGCAGCAGUGGGGAGUAUUGCACAGUGGGCGGAAGCCUGAGGCAGAGGCGCCGCGUGUGGGAUGACGGCCUUCGGGUUGUAAACCGCUUUAGCCUGUGACGAAGCGUGAGUGACGGUAAUGGGUGAAGAAGCACCGGCUAACUACGUG
Molecule: ribosomal RNA, 468 nt
Filed under: uncultured bacterium
Lineage: Bacteria
Description: partial 16S ribosomal RNA
Rfam family: Bacterial small subunit ribosomal RNA
Source: RNAcentral